Molecule: non-coding RNA, 92 nt
Organism: Macrolepiota fuliginosa MF-IS2
Lineage: Eukaryota; Fungi; Basidiomycota; Agaricomycetes; Agaricales; Agaricaceae
Source: the annotation of a GenBank genome assembly
CCGACCUUAGCUCAGUUGGAAGAGCGUCAGACUGUAAUUGGAAGCCUUCGAGUGACAUCUGAAUGUCGCCUGUUCGAGCCAGGCAGGUCGGA